AGAUUGAACGCUGGCGGCAGGCCUAACACAUGCAAGUCGAGCGGGGGUAGCGAAUACCCGUAGCGGCGAACGGGUGAGGAAUGCUUGGGAAUCUGCCUGGUAGUGGGGGAUAACGUUCCGAAAGGAACGCUAAUACCGCAUACGUCCUACGGGAGAAAGGGGGGGAUCUUCGGACCUCUCGCUAUCAGAUGAGCCCAAGCGGGAUUAGCUAGUUGGUGAGGUAAAGGCUACACCAAGGCAACGAUCCCUAGCUGGUCUGAGAGGAUGAUCAGCCACACUGGAACUGAGACACGGUCCAGACUCGACGGGAGCAGCAGUGGGAAUAUGGACAAGUGGGGAAACCUGAUCCAGCCAUGCGCGUGUGUAGAAGAAGGUCCGUUGGGUUAGUAAAGCAAGUUUAAGGACGGGAAGGAAGGCGUUAGUAGGUUAAGUAGUCUGACGAAGU
RNAcentral lists this ribosomal RNA (445 nucleotides) under uncultured soil bacterium. RNAcentral describes it as "bacterial SSU rRNA". It matches the Rfam family "Bacterial small subunit ribosomal RNA", at positions 26 to 479 of the family's 1533-position model. The record is from RNAcentral.